GAUGAACGCUGGCGGCGUGCCUAAUACAUGCAAGUCGAGCGAACGGACGAGAAGCUUGCUUCUCUGAUGUUAGCGGCGGGCGGGUGAGUAACACGUGGAUAACCUACCUAUAAGACUGGGAUAACUUCUUGAAACCGGAGCUAAUACCGGAUAAUAUUUUGAACCGCAUGGUUCAAAAGUAAAAGACGGUCUUGCUGUCACUUAUAGAUGGAUCCGCGCUGCAUUAGCUAGUUGGUAAGGUAACGGCUUACCAAGGCAACGAUGCAUAGCCGACCUGAGAGGGUGAUCGGCCACACUGGAACUGAGACACGGUCCAGACUCCUACGGGAGGCAGCAGUAGGGAAUCUUCCGCAAUGGGCGAAAGCCUGACGGAGCAACGCCGCGUGAGUGAUGAAGGUCUUCGGAUCGUAAAACUCUGUUAUUAGGGAAGAACAUAUGUGUAAGUAACUGUGCACAUCUUGACGGUACCUAAUCAGAAAGCCACGGCUAACUACGUG
RNAcentral lists this ribosomal RNA (497 nucleotides) under uncultured bacterium. RNAcentral's name for it is "partial 16S ribosomal RNA". It matches the Rfam family "Bacterial small subunit ribosomal RNA", at positions 28 to 507 of the family's 1533-position model. The record is from RNAcentral.